Molecule: unclassified non-coding RNA, 322 nt
Filed under: uncultured Glomeraceae
Lineage: Eukaryota; Fungi; Glomeromycota; Glomeromycetes; Glomerales; Glomeraceae
Description: sequence contains 5.8S rRNA gene
Rfam family: 5.8S ribosomal RNA (bases 1-53)
Source: RNAcentral
GAACGCAUAUUGCACUCUCUGGUAAUCCGGGGAGUAUGCCUGUUUGAGGGUCAGUAAAUAAUAAUUAUCAUAAUCUUUUGAUUGUGGAAUUGGGCCUUUAUUUCAUUUUAAUGAUUUAUGGCCUCAAAUUUACGUUACCGCUUGUUUAAUAUGAAAUUCGACCGAAUGGAGCAAUUAAACAUUCUCUCGUUAGGCGGAUUCAUCAAGCAAUUACAAUUUUUUGGCCGUCGAAGCACUUUUUUUUAGAAGUGCUUGGUCCAGAUUGUAAGAUACAUUUUUAACAAUGACCUCAAAUCAGGCAAGAAUACCCGCUGAACUUAAG